AAGUCGUAACAAGGUAACCGUAGGUGAACCUGCGGUUGGAUCAUUACAACGUAUCCACGUAUAAACCUUGUCGUUGAACUUGUUUUGCUUGACUUGUUUUUCUCUUCGGAGAAAGCAAGCCAUGCAUCAACCUUUUUCAUAUUAACCACUUUGUAACCAAACUGAUUUUUGUUUUUUACAAACUUUCUUCUCUUGCUGUGUGCGAACUGGGGAAACCUGGCGAGCCUGGCUCGAAAGGAAAUAAAACUAAAUAAGAAAUUAAAGCACAACUCUUAACAACGGAUAUCUAGGCUCUC
This 296-nucleotide unclassified non-coding RNA is filed under the name fungal sp. RNAcentral's name for it is "partial internal transcribed spacer region". The stretch from base 1 to 46 matches the Rfam family "Eukaryotic small subunit ribosomal RNA", at positions 1786 to 1831 of the family's 1831-position model. Lineage: Eukaryota; Fungi. The record is from RNAcentral.